This 474-nucleotide ribosomal RNA is filed under the name uncultured bacterium. RNAcentral describes it as "bacterial SSU rRNA". It matches the Rfam family "Bacterial small subunit ribosomal RNA", at positions 28 to 498 of the family's 1533-position model. The record is from RNAcentral.
GAUGAACGCUAGCGGCAGGCUUAACACAUGCAAGUCGAGGGGUAUUGGUUUUCGGACCAAGAGACCGGCGCACGGGUGCGUAACGCGUAUGCAAUCUACCUUUUGCAGAGGGAUAGCCCAGAGAAAUUUGGAUUAAUACCUCAUAGUAUAGUACUUUGGCAUCAAGGAACUAUUAAAGUCACAACGGCAAAAGAUGAGCAUGCGUCCCAUUAGCUAGUUGGUAAGGUAACGGCUUACCAAGGCUACGAUGGGUAGGGGUCCUGAGAGGGAGAUCCCCCACACUGGUACUGAGACACGGACCAGACUCCUACGGGAGGCAGCAGUGAGGAAUAUUGGACAAUGGGCGCAAAGCCCUGAUCCAGCCAUGCCGCGUGCAGGAUGACGGUCCUAUGGAUUGUAAAACUGCUUUUUANACAGGGAAGAAACACUCCGACGUGUCGGAGCUUGACGGUACUGUAAGAAUAAGCCACGGCU